AACGAACGCUGGCGGCAGGCCUAACACAUGCAAGUCGAACGCUCCGCAAGGGGAGUGGCGCACGGGUGAGUAACACGUGGGAACCUACCUUCUGGUACGGAACAACCAAGGGAAACUCUGGCUGAUACCGUAUACGACCUCCGGGUGAAAGAUUGAUCGCCGGAAGAGGGGCCCGCGUCCGAUUAGGUAGUUGGUGAGGUAACGGCUCACCAAGCCUGCGAUCGGUAGCUGGUCUGAGAGGANGACCAGCCACACUGGGACUGAGACACGGCCCAGACUCCUACGGGAGGCAGCAGUGGGGAAUUGUUCGCAAUGGGCGCAAGCCUGACGACGCAACGCCGCGUGGAGGACGAAGAUUUUCGGAUCGUAAACUCCUUUCGAUCGGGAAGAACAGCUCUUGAGUUAAUAGCCUGAGAGUCUGACGGUACCGAGAGAAGAAGCCCCGGCUAACUCCGUGCCAGCCGCCGCCGUAAU
RNAcentral lists this ribosomal RNA (474 nucleotides) under uncultured bacterium. RNAcentral describes it as "bacterial SSU rRNA". It matches the Rfam family "Bacterial small subunit ribosomal RNA", at positions 29 to 524 of the family's 1533-position model. The record is from RNAcentral.